RNAcentral lists this ribosomal RNA (490 nucleotides) under uncultured bacterium. RNAcentral describes it as "partial 16S ribosomal RNA". It matches the Rfam family "Bacterial small subunit ribosomal RNA", at positions 30 to 507 of the family's 1533-position model. The record is from RNAcentral.
AUUGAACGCUGGCGGCAGGCCUAACACAUGCAAGUCGAGCGGCAGCGGAAAGUAGCUUGCUACUUUGCCGGCGAGCGGCGGACGGGUGAGUAAUGUCUGGGAAACUGCCUGAUGGAGGGGGAUAACUACUGGAAACGGUAGCUAAUACCGCAUAACGUCGCAAGAUCAAAGAGGGGGACCUUCGGGCCUCUUGCCAUCAGAUGUGCCCAGAUGGGAUUAGCUAGUAGGUGGGGUAACGGCUCACCUAGGCGACGAUCCCUAGCUGGUCUGAGAGGAUGACCAGCCACACUGGAACUGAGACACGGUCCAGACUCCUACGGGAGGCAGCAGUGGGGAAUAUUGCACAAUGGGCGCAAGCCUGAUGCAGCCAUGCCGCGUGUAUGAAGAAGGCCUUCGGGUUGUAAAGUACUUUCAGCGGGGAGGAAGGUGUUGAGGUUAAUAACCUCAGCAAUUGACGUUACCCGCAGAAGAAGCACCGGCUAACUCCGUG